Molecule: long non-coding RNA, 2072 nt
Organism: Homo sapiens (human)
Lineage: Eukaryota; Metazoa; Chordata; Mammalia; Primates; Hominidae
Exons: 2
Source: RefSeq, a predicted model, not a curated record
GGAGGCAGAAGUUGCAGUGAGCCUUAAUCACGCCACUGCACUCCAGCCUAGGUGAUAGAGCCAGACCCUGUCUCCCCGAUCGCCCCACAAAAUAGAAUCAAAGUGUAGGUAAAUGAAUGUUCAUUGCACAAUUAUUUGAAUUUUUAUGUACGUUUGAAAUUUUUCCUAUUAUUUAGGGAAAAUAAAGGGAGACAUCUUCUGGAAGAAAUUGGUAUUACUGAUUGGCUCAGAAAGGCAAGCGCAAGAAAACUUUUUUUUUUUUUUUUGGUUUUUGUUGUUUUGAGACAGCGUCUCCCUCUGUUGCCCAGGCUGGAGUGCGGUGGAGAGAUCACAGGACACUGCAGCCUCAAAUUCUUGGGCUCAAGUGAUCCUCCCACCUCAGCCUCUCAAGUAGCUGGGACUACAGGCAUGUGCCUGGCUAAUUAUUUUUAUUUUUUGUAGAGGUGAGGGUUUAGCUUUGUUGCUCAGGCUGGUUUCGAACUCCUGGCUUCAAGCGAUCCUCCCACCUCAGCCUCCCAGUGUUGGGAUUACAGAUGUGAGCUACUGUGCCUGGCCAAAAUAUGGUUUAAAAAUAUGAUUUGGUAUGGAAUGAUUGCUUAUUUUUUACAUACCCCAUUGGUUCUUUCUCCUGUGCCCAAGCUGAAAAUCUUCCUUCUCUUCCACUAACUUCUUACUUAGAUUUUACUUUCUGAAUAAGAAUCAGUAAACUUUUUCUGUAAAUGGCCAGAGGGUAAAUAUUUUAGGUUCUAUGGGCUAAGGGGCAAAAUUGAAGAUUUUAUGUAGAUACUUGUAGAAAAACAGGGAAAACUAAUUUCCACAACAUUUUCACUGAUGAAAUUCAAAAUAUAAUAAUAUCGAGUACAAAUUUUUGUAAAUCAGGUAUGCUAAUCAGAAGAAUGAAAUUCUUUUUGUGGGGAGAUGGAGAAUAACAUUUUUCUUAAUUAGGUUUCAAAGUUCUUAUUCCCUAUCAAAAUCUAUUGCAAAUGUUCAUCUGUCAAUCAUGAUCUGUAAUGAAAUUUUACAGAUUUUAUCUUUGAAAAAUAUAUUUUCACACAUGUAGGCACUGCCCAAUAUGAUGUCAAUCCAAGGGCAUAUGAUUUAAAUUAAGUAUAUUAUGCUCUUGGAAAACAAUUACAGAAACAUAUUAUUCUCUUCAUAUCUGCCUUUUAGCAUGUCAGAUGAAUCAUUUCUAACUGAUGGUUAGGUGGAAGCUCUUCAGUUGCACAGUUAAAUGGAUUUUGAAAUAUGGAAAUUUCCUUUGUGUUUGCAGAGAUCCGUAAAACACCACUAAAACUGUAGUUUGAGCUUGAAAAAUAUAACCACUGCAAACUUGUGUGAGGAUAGAGAGCUUGCUUUUUGUUUUAACUUGUGACUCAAAUAAUGUUAGUUGUCAAAAUGACUUCAUCACAGUAAGUUUUGCAUGUCAGUACUGUUUUGCUUUGUAAUUUAUGUUGACUUUAUUAGGAUGCAUCAUCAAAUGAUCAAAAUUAGCAAACUAGCAAAAAUGAAUUUCAAAGUCAUUCAGUCAGUGAUGUAAAAUAAAUAAAAUCCUGAGCCCUCUGCCAACUGCAUGAACGUACCCUCAUGGCCAAGGUGACCCCAGAAAAACCUUUAAAACAGAGUUCCUGAUCAUAACAGGACAGGAGGGCAGACAUGCCUCAUUAAACUCCCUCCCUUUUGAAGUUUAGACACAACAACCGACCAGCAUUGAUGUUAAAGAAGAGAUAUCAAGACUGACAGAAAGGACUUUUUGUGGCAAAAAGGUAUCAAAAGAUAAACAAGACCCAAGGCCAUGCCAGCUAAACCAUCACUGGCCUACAGAUAAGCAAUAUUAAAACAACUGUAGCUCACCAUCAGACACUGAAUAACUGAUCCCCGUUCCACCAGCUUUGAUUGGAUAAGAGACUGAUUUCAGUAACUUUCUCCUGAUAAGAAGACCGCCAACCAUGGACUGAUUCUGGCAGGCUUUCAGAGGCUGCACACUUGCAUGACUUCGUGUCUUGAAAAGAGCUUUUGACAUAUAGGACCUAAUUAUAAUACAUUUAAGUAUUAAAUAUCCACUCCAAAGUGAA